Molecule: ribosomal RNA, 305 nt
Filed under: uncultured bacterium
Lineage: Bacteria
Description: bacterial SSU rRNA
Rfam family: Bacterial small subunit ribosomal RNA
Source: RNAcentral
CCUACGGGACGCAGCAGUGAGGAAUAUUGGUCAAUGGCCGAAGGGCUGAACCAGCCAAGCCGCGUGAAGGAAUAAGGCCCUACGGGUCGUAAACUUCUUUAGUCAGGGAACAAAGGGUGCCACGUGUGGCGCUGUGAGUGUACCUGAAGAAUAAGCAUCGGCUAACUCCGUGCCAGCAGCCGCGGUAAUACGGAGGAUGCGAGCGUUAUCCGGAUUUAUUGGGUUUAAAGGGUGCGUAGGCGGUUUUUUAAGUUAGUGGUUAAACGUCGGGGCUUCACCUUGAUUUGCCCUUAAUACUGUAAGAC